RNAcentral lists this ribosomal RNA (501 nucleotides) under uncultured bacterium. Its description in RNAcentral is "partial 16S ribosomal RNA". It matches the Rfam family "Bacterial small subunit ribosomal RNA", at positions 30 to 523 of the family's 1533-position model. The record is from RNAcentral.
AUUGAACGCUGGCGGCAUGCCUUACACAUGCAAGUCGAACGGCAGCACGGGUGCUUGCACCUGGUGGCGAGUGGCGAACGGGUGAGUAAUAUAUCGGAACGUACCUUAUUGUGGGGGAUAACGCAGCGAAAGCUGUGCUAAUACCGCAUAAUCCCUAAGGGGGAAAGCGGGGGACCGUAAGGCCUCGCGCAAUUAGAGCGGCCGAUACCUGAUUAGCUAGUUGGUGAGGUAAAGGCUCACCAAGGCAACGAUCAGUAGCUGGUCUGAGAGGGCGAUCAGCCACACUGGGACUGAGACACGGCCCAGACUCCUACGGGAGGCAGCAGUGGGGAAUUUUGGACAAUGGGGGCAACCCUGAUCCAGCAAUGCCGCGUGAGUGAAGAAGGCCUUCGGGUUGUAAAGCUCUUUUGUCAGGGAAGAAACAGCAGCUCUAACACAGUUUGCGAAUGACGGUACCUGAAGAAUAAGCACCGGCUAACUACGUGCCAGCAGCCGCCGCGG